Molecule: ribosomal RNA, 279 nt
Filed under: uncultured bacterium
Lineage: Bacteria
Description: partial 16S ribosomal RNA
Rfam family: Bacterial small subunit ribosomal RNA
Source: RNAcentral
UGCCAGCAGCCGCGGUAAUACGGAGGGUCCAAGCGUUAAUCGGAAUUACUGGGCGUAAAGCGCGCGUAGGCGGCUUGGUCAGUCGGAUGUGAAAGCCCCGGGCUUAACCUGGGAAUUGCAUUCGAUACUGCUGUGCUAGAGUAUGGGAGAGGGAAGUGGAAUUUCCGGUGUAGCGGUGAAAUGCGUAGAUAUCGGAAGGAACACCAGUGGCGAAGGCGACUUCCUGGCCCAAAACUGACGCUGAGGCACGAAAGCUAGGGUAGCGAACGGGAUUAGAUA